MicroRNA precursor from Ficedula albicollis (Collared flycatcher), 68 nucleotides. It matches the Rfam family "mir-2985 microRNA precursor family". Rfam says of the family: RNAs can be post-transcriptional modified, in micro RNAs (miRNA) editing of pre-mRNA is a common process. The record is from Rfam. Lineage: Eukaryota; Metazoa; Chordata; Aves; Passeriformes; Muscicapidae.
AGCAUUAAGGUGGGUGGAAUAAUAUAACAAUAUCCGUGUUGUUAUAGUAUUCCACCUACCCUGAUGUA